UACGUAGGGGGCGAGCGUUGUCCGAAGUUACUGGGCGUAAAGCGCGCGUAGGCGGCAUGUUAAGUGGCCGGUGAAAUCCCCGGGCUCAACUCGGGGCGGACUGGUCAUACUGGCAAGCUGGAGUGUGGGAGAGGAGAGUGGAACUCCUGGUGUAGCGGUGAUAUGCGUAGAGAUCAGGAAGAACACCCGUGGCGAAGGCGGCUCUCUGGACCACAACUGACGCUGAGGCGCGAAAGCCAGGGGAG
This 245-nucleotide ribosomal RNA is filed under the name uncultured bacterium. RNAcentral describes it as "partial 16S ribosomal RNA". It matches the Rfam family "Bacterial small subunit ribosomal RNA", at positions 524 to 768 of the family's 1533-position model. The record is from RNAcentral.